AUCCAGCUGACGAGUCCAAAAAAUAGGACGGGACACGCGUCGUGGAU
Non-coding RNA from Schistosoma mansoni, 47 nucleotides. Lineage: Eukaryota; Metazoa; Platyhelminthes; Trematoda; Strigeidida; Schistosomatidae. The record is from Rfam.